RNAcentral lists this unclassified non-coding RNA (353 nucleotides) under soil metagenome. RNAcentral's name for it is "partial contains 5.8S ribosomal RNA, internal transcribed spacer 2, and large subunit ribosomal RNA". The stretch from base 1 to 120 matches the Rfam family "5.8S ribosomal RNA", at positions 35 to 154 of the family's 154-position model. The record is from RNAcentral.
GAUGAAGAACGUAGCGAAAUGCGAUAAGUAAUGUGAAUUGCAGAAUUCAGUGAAUCAUCGGAUCUUUGAACGCACAUUGCGCCCGCGAGUAUUCUCGCGGGCAUGCCUGUCCGAGCGUCAUUUCAACCCUCAGGGCCCGCCUGCUUCGGCAGGCGCGGCGCUGGUGUUGGGGAUCGGCCUAACCGCCGUCCCCCAAAUACAGUGGCGGUCUCGCUGCAGCCUCCCCUGCGUAGUAGCAACACUCGCAUGCGGAGCGCGGCGCGGCCACGCCGUAAAACCCCCGACUUUCUGAACGUUGACCUCGGAUCAGGUAGGAAUACCCGCUGAACUUAAGCAUAUCAAUAAGCGGAGGA